This 644-nucleotide ribosomal RNA is filed under the name cf. Sectonema sp. Konza VIAA-118. RNAcentral describes it as "SSU rRNA". It matches the Rfam family "Eukaryotic small subunit ribosomal RNA", at positions 1003 to 1664 of the family's 1831-position model. Lineage: Eukaryota; Metazoa; Nematoda; Enoplea; Dorylaimida; Aporcelaimidae. The record is from RNAcentral.
GGCGAUCAGAUACCGCCCUAGUUAUAACCGUAAACGAUGCCAACCAGCGAUUAAUCGGCGUUAAUUACUAUGACCCGAUUAGAAGCUUCCGGGAAACCAAAGUUUUUCGGUUCCGGGGGAAGUAUGGUUGCAAAGCUGAAACUUAAAGGAAUUGACGGAAGGGCACCACCAGGAGUGGAGCCUGCGGCUUAAUUUGACUCAACACGGGAAAACUCACCCGGCCCGGACACCGUAAGGAUUGACAGACUGAUAGCUCUUUCUUAAUUCGGUGGGUGGUGGUGCAUGGCCGUUCUUAGUUGGUGGAGCGAUUUGUCUGGUUAAUUCCGAUAACGAACGAGACUCUGGCCUAUUAAAUAGUAGAGUCAUUUUGAACAUAGUGAUUCUUACUUCUUAGAGGGACAAGCGGCGUCUAGCCGCAUGAAAUAGAGCAAUAACAGGUCUGUGAUGCCCUUAGAUGUCCGGGGCUGCACGCGCGCUACACUGAAAGAAUCAGUGUGCGUCCAGAACCUAGUCCGGAAGGACCGGGUAACCCCAGUAAAUUCUUUCGUGCUUGGGAUAGGGAAUUGAAAUUAUUUCCCUUAAACGAGGAAUUCCCAGUAAAUGCGGGUCAUAAGCUCGCGUUGAUUACGUCCCUGCCCUUUGUA